GGGCGUAUGGCUGAGUGGUUUAAAGCGUUAGUCUUGAACACUAAUAUGUAAAAUUUUUAUAUCGUGGGUUCGAAUCCUGCUACGUCUA
Molecule: transfer RNA, 88 nt
Filed under: Plasmodiophora brassicae
Lineage: Eukaryota; Endomyxa; Phytomyxea; Plasmodiophorida; Plasmodiophoridae
Rfam family: tRNA
About the family: Transfer RNA (tRNA) molecules are approximately 80 nucleotides in length.
Source: RNAcentral